Molecule: ribosomal RNA, 575 nt
Filed under: Aspergillus biplanus
Lineage: Eukaryota; Fungi; Ascomycota; Eurotiomycetes; Eurotiales; Aspergillaceae
Also listed under: 1 other name
Description: eukaryotic LSU rRNA
Rfam family: Eukaryotic large subunit ribosomal RNA
Source: RNAcentral
AAAGAAACCAACCGGGAUUGCCUCAGUAACGGCGAGUGAAGCGGCAAGAGCUCAAAUUUGAAAUCUGGCCCCUCCGGGGUCCGAGUUGUAAUUUGCAGAGGAUGCUUCGGGUGCGGCCCCCGUCUAAGUGCCCUGGAACGGGCCGUCAGAGAGGGUGAGAAUCCCGUCUUGGGCGGGGUGUCCGUGCCCGUGUGAAGCUCCUUCGACGAGUCGAGUUGUUUGGGAAUGCAGCUCUAAAUGGGUGGUAAAUUUCAUCUAAAGCUAAAUACUGGCCGGAGACCGAUAGCGCACAAGUAGAGUGAUCGAAAGAUGAAAAGCACUUUGAAAAGAGAGUUAAACAGCACGUGAAAUUGUUGAAAGGGAAGCGCUUGCGACCAGACUCGCUCGCGGGGUUCAGCCGGCAUUCGUGCCGGUGUACUUCCCCGCGGGCGGGCCAGCGUCGGUUUGGGCGGUCGGUCAAAGGCCUCCGGAAUGUAUCACCCUCCGGGGUGCCUUAUAGCCGGGGGUGCAAUGCGGCCAGCCCAGACCGAGGAACGCGCUUCGGCACGGACGCUGGCAUAAUGGUCGUAAACGAC